AUGAGGUGGUUAGCUCCACCCCAACCCCAGUUUGUCUUGGGUUUGUGCCCAAUUAUGAGCACAACUCUGAAAGAGAUGGUAGCAGCAAACUUCUUGGAUAUUAAUAGCUCCUGCUUUUCUUUAAAUGCUGCAAGGAAAGAGAAGCUCUUCCAGCUACCUAAGAAAGGCUGUGUAGGACUGUGAAAUGCCGUGACCUCAAAAGGUCAAAGCAGCAAAACACUGUGCUUCAAUGUCUCUGCUCUGGACAAACUUCAGCUCUUUGUUUGCUUUGUCUUGAUGGAAAAUCAACCAAAAUCAAUACUGGUGAGAUAAGGACCCCAAGUGAGUAUAUAUUUCUCUAAAUCGAUCAGGCACAUGUAACAGACACUUGGAAAUACUUUGGUGAUAGCCAUGCCUAUUUAUACAAGAAUUCAUAUAUAUGCAAGGAUUUCUAAGCUUAUACAUCCUGGCACAGAUCACCCUUUCGAAGAAAAAAAUACCAUAUGCUGCUUUCAGUUUUAAAAAGUCAUUGGUUAGUUGCCAUACAUAGUUAGUGGGGGUUUUUUUCCCUAGCACAUCUUUUCUACAGAAACCAUAUAAUGGGAGGGAUGGACCAGCUUUGCCAGCACUAGAGAUUAGUUUACAGUGUUAUCUCAGCUGUUGCUCGGUUCAGAGGUGUUGCAGUAUUUACAUAGAAGUCCACUGCUGAUAGCUGCAUUGAAUUCCUCCCCAAUCAGACCUGCUCUGACACAUCCUACAUUCCCUCUGGCUAGAAACAGACAGACUCUCCUGGAACUGAGAGACAGCCAGCUCUCACUGAAAAAUCUAUGAAACAGUUUGUAUUUUCUUGUUUACUUUCUAACUAAAUUUCUGCUUUCUCUACUAUCUCCUCAAGUUUUAUAUUUCUAAUGCAGCAGGACUCACAGUUAGGAUCCUGAGGCACUUGAGAACUCAUCAGUCCACACACCACUCUCCCAUAUAUUGCAAGGUCAAAUGAAAAGGGCACCACACAUCGUACGUAAUUCCAAAAUAUCAUUCCCUUCCUUGUA
This 1028-nucleotide long non-coding RNA is filed under the name Cyanistes caeruleus (blue tit). Its description in RNAcentral is "lncRNA (ENSCCEG00000015695.1)". The record is from RNAcentral. Lineage: Eukaryota; Metazoa; Chordata; Aves; Passeriformes; Paridae.